RNAcentral lists this ribosomal RNA (503 nucleotides) under uncultured bacterium. RNAcentral's name for it is "bacterial SSU rRNA". It matches the Rfam family "Bacterial small subunit ribosomal RNA", at positions 29 to 502 of the family's 1533-position model. The record is from RNAcentral.
AACUAACGCUGGCGGCGUGCCUAACACAUGCAAGUCGUACGAGAAAGCCGGCUUCGGCUGGUGAGUAAAGUGGCGCACGGGUGAGUAACGCGUGGAUAAUCUGCCCUUAAGUGUGGAAUAACGUACCGAAAGGUGCGCUAAUACCGCAUAAUGCCUGGCAACACAAGUUGUCCGGCCAAAGAAGGCCUCUGUUUACAAGCUUUCGCUUCAGGAUGAGUCCGCGUACCAUUAGCUAGUUGGUGAGGUAAAGGCUCACCAAGGCGGCGAUCUGUAGCGGGUCUGAGAGGAUGAUCCGCCACACUGGAACUGAGACACGGUCCAGACUCCUGCGGGAGGCAGCAGUGGGGAAUUUUUGGACAAUGGGGGCAACCCCUGAUCCAGCCAUGCCGCGUGAGUGAAGAAGGCCUUCGGUUGUAAGACUCUUCGGUCCGGGUAAAAACGUACGACGAUCAGUAAUACUACGGUGUGGAUGAUGGUACCGGAAUAAGAAGCACCGGCUAACU